Molecule: long non-coding RNA, 2131 nt
Organism: Neofelis nebulosa (Clouded leopard)
Lineage: Eukaryota; Metazoa; Chordata; Mammalia; Carnivora; Felidae
Exons: 3
Source: RefSeq, a predicted model, not a curated record
AGACAUUUAUCCUUUUCUUAUGGAACAGACAGAGGUGCGUGGUCCUGAGUCAGUGGGCAGUUCGGCUCCACAGGAACCUCUGCUCCCAGGGAACCUUCCGCCCUACAGACCUGCGGUUUCCCAGCUGCUAUCAUUGCCCGGGGUGGACGUUGUCUCCUCCUCCUCCUCUACAUUCCAGUUCAAGGGCUUUUGUCUUCCAGGAGAUGACCUGGAAGUUGUGCACUUCACUUGGGCUCCCCUCUUGUUGUCACAGGGCCACACCUCGUUGCCAGGGGGGCGGGGAACGUAAACUUCCGGGUAGUCCUAUUCCCAGCGGGGACCUAGGAGGUCCUCUCCCGAAGAGGAAGGGAAGGAGAAUGCGCACAGACCGGGGGGUGCGGGUGCCACUUGGCAGAAUCUGCCCCAUCACAGGGGUCUCUCCUCCAUCUUUCUCUCUUGCUUUCCAUCCUGCUGAGAUGUCGCUUUGAUCAAAUGAAGCUUCCUCUGACCACUCCCAGGCAGACCUUCCACCCCCCACCCCCUCACUACCUCCGCUCCUGCGCUGCUCUGUUUCUACCCCUGAGACAGCAGUUUCCAAACCGGCUCAGAACUCAUCUGUCUGUUGCCUCGCUCUCCCUCUGCACCGUGAACAGCUUUGAGAACAGAGACCUCGCCUGAUUCAUCUCCGCGUUCCUAUUCCUCUCACAGCGCUUGGCUCCUGGACGUGGUCAGCGGAUUUAUACGAGACAGAAUGAAUAAUUCAAGGCAAUGUUAUUUGACUUUGCAUGUGGCUUGCUUAUGGAAGGACAGUGCUUCACCUCCCAAGUGUGUAUCAUUUCCAUAGGCUGUGUUGCUUUCCUGCAGGGCUGAGUCUCCGUGCUCCCAGGAUGAGUUAUCUGAACCAGCGCUCGUCCCAGCUCAUCCUGCCUGCAGCUUCUCCAGCCUGAAGUACAGAGCAUCCUCUGCCUGCAGCGCGGCCCCUUCUUGGCCUCUGAAGACAAGAUGUAGCCCAUGAUGGCAGCUUCGUCUCACUUUGCUUGGGAUCUGGGAGGCCCAUUACAUGCCUGCUGAGCCACGGAGCCACGGUCUCCGCUAAUCUUCACGCGACUUCUGUGUGAGCCUGGCUUCAACACCGGCUUUCACAGACAUGGCGCCUGACACUCAGAGAGAUCAAGCAGCUUACCUGGGGUCCCGAGUAUAAGGACUAGGACUUGAACUCAGUCUUGCCCUUUCCCGAAGCCUGUCUCUUUGUGCUAAGCCAGAGGGACUAGACUUACCUUCGCCACACGGCCAACAGGGAGGGUGGGCAGAGCUCAUCCCUUCUUUCCAAUGUCCCCGCGAGACAGAAACGUCUCUCAACACUUCUGCCUUUUCAGGAAAGUGCUGGCACAGGGCAUUUUCACUCCUCUCAACUCUCCUUAUGGGCAUGAGAUCCUACAGAGGGUGAAAAACUUGGGGGGUGGGUUGGCGAUCAGGUCUAUAAAGUAUUUGUUUCAGGGGGCAGAGAGUUGAACGAAGGGGAAGCUGCCAGUGGAUUUCUGGGGCAGAUUUAUACAUGGGGGUCUUGGCCAGGUGCCAGUCCUUAACGAUGUAAACGCUCCUGUCCAUUUUGCACGCGGAAACUGCAUCGGGCAGAUUGCCGAGAACCUAAAGCUCCAGAGCAAAUAAACCGAGAGUUUUCUCUUUGGUUGGGAAGGGGACAAGCAAGAAUGUACACGUGAGAAGGCAGCAUUACUCUUAACAGGUGCCUGCUCUUUCCCAAGUGACUGUAAUUUCCCUGUGUCUUAAUUCCCUAGCCGCAAAAUAGACACAAUGAUUCUUUACGAAUUGCACCAGGCUUUGGCCAAGACAGGUGGGGACUAUAUAUGAGAAAGGGUCUUAUAUCCUUAGGAAGAAAGGCGGCUUGUACUCCAAGGUAUUUAUGUUAUUAAUUUUAUUCAAAAAUUAAAAAUGGGUUAGGGAGACCACAAAGGCAUUUUAUUGCUCUAAGCUGUCAGAAAGUUCCAGCUGAAUGGACUCAUCCAAGGUUUUCUUCAAAUGAACAGGAUUAAGCUAUUAUUUUUGUCAAUCUGGAUGGUUUCUUCACCCUGCACAAUUCUUAAAACCUCAUUGUGAUUCAUUUCAACUCUCAAAACUUGGGCUGAACACAUUU